UGCCCGACCGCACUGAGUAAGAUUUCCCUCGGUUUUUCUAAGCCUUGCUGGCUGAUUUACAGGCCCAUCCUUGUCCAACCCGAGCUUGUGCUAAGUCUCCACUAAUCUCAUCGUCGACGAAAUGUUAAACGCUAAAUUUUAAUUUGAAACGACGGGUAUCUGCUCGUUGCCGAGUGCAGCGCCACAGCGAGGCGAGUAGUAGCGCGCUUUCACAAAGCGAACUGGAGUCUGACGAACGGAACUGAAGUGGCAACUUCAACUUGGUGCCAGUGUCGGACCACAGUGGGUGAAGGCCGGCCGACAAGUCUUCAGGACAUCGCCGGGCCGGGCCGAUGCAUGGCGCGACGGCCGAGCUGGUUUGGAUAUUGGCAUAGCUGGCCCAGGAUUUGCCAGUUUCAGCGCAGUUCCGUAUAGACAGAAGAUGGGCAGUCACUGUCACUGUUGUCGUGAGGAGGCUGAGGUGGAGAAGAGUAUAAGUUCGUACUAGCCAGAGAAAGCGGGAACAGCAAGCUGGAGAUCGAGGGCGGACACUUGAAUGUCGAGUUGGAAGCAGGGUACAGCAGCAAGGCAGUUGGACUGACGGACUGCCAAGGCUUGGUCCAACUUGCUGCCAACACGAGGCAUGGUUCUUGCUGGAGCAGUGGGCGGUAUUUGCCUACCUAUGUCCAGCAGACACGGAGCAACUGAGAGCAGGUUUCGCACUUCAAAUGAACAAGAGCAUCACCAGAAUUUAUAGUUUGAAGUUGGCUGACAGCAUUAACGACUGCGUUUAAAGUUGACUGGCAGCUCUAAAGAUUAACCUGGGCAUACUAUAUUACUUAAAUUUACGUUUAAAGUACAGUAGCAUACGAUGACAUUG
Schistocerca piceifrons (Central American locust) is the source of this 859-nucleotide long non-coding RNA. RefSeq lists it as uncharacterized. The record is from RefSeq and is a predicted model, not a curated record. Lineage: Eukaryota; Metazoa; Arthropoda; Insecta; Orthoptera; Acrididae. The transcript is spliced from 3 exons.